CCCACUGCCCGUAAUGGGGUAGUAUCCUUACUUGAAUACAUAGAGUAAGGAAGGCAGACCCGGGGAACUGAAACAUCUAAGUACCCGGAGGAAGAGAAAGCAAACGCGAUUUCCUGAGUAGCGGCGAGCGAAACGGAAGAAGCCCAAACCAAGAGGCUUGCCUCUUGGGGUUGUAGGACACUCUAUGUCAGGAGUUACAAAGGAACGGAGUAAAUGAAGAGGUCUGGAAAGGCCCGUCAAAGAAGGUAACAACCCUGUAGUUGAAACUUCGUUCCCUCCAGAGUGGAUCCUGAGUACGGCGGGACACGUGAAAUCCCGUCGGAAGCAGGGAGGACCAUCUCCCAAGGCUAAAUACUCCCUAGUGACCGAUAGUGAACCAGUACCGUGAGGGAAAGGUGAAAAGCACCCCGGGAGGGGAGUGAAAGAGAACCUGAAACCGUGUGCCUACAAGUAGUUAGAGCUCUGUGCGUAUUUCCUUCGGAAAGACGCCGAGUGAUAGCGUGCCUUUUGUAGAAUGAACCGGCGAGUUACGAUU
Molecule: ribosomal RNA, 535 nt
Filed under: Escherichia coli
Lineage: Bacteria; Pseudomonadati; Pseudomonadota; Gammaproteobacteria; Enterobacterales; Enterobacteriaceae
Description: partial 23S ribosomal RNA
Rfam family: Bacterial large subunit ribosomal RNA
Source: RNAcentral